RNAcentral lists this long non-coding RNA (1292 nucleotides) under Cricetulus griseus (Chinese hamster). RNAcentral describes it as "lncRNA (ENSCGRG00015038022.1)". The record is from RNAcentral. Lineage: Eukaryota; Metazoa; Chordata; Mammalia; Rodentia; Cricetidae.
GCCAUGUGAUCCCAGCAAGAGAAGACACCUGCCACUGGCAUCUGAUAACAUAAGUUCCUAUAAAAUAUAAAGAUUAGUAGUUAUGGUUCAUAAUUAAGACUGAGCUAGCAUAUAAGAAAUCCUAGUCAUUGGCCAGCAGCAUUAUACCUAAUUUUUUCAAACCCGCCAGUCCAGUUUGUGUGGGACCAUCUGCUGGAGCGUAGUCAUCUACCACAUAUGACUUGGGACAGCACUCAAGACUCAUGCAAGCUCAAGCCAAACAAAAUCCAGCAUGGAGCUACAGGAUGAAGGCUCUAGGAUGACAUAGAAGGCAGUCAUCAAUCUCAUUAUCGGGGAAGGGCAUUUAAGGGCAUGGUCACUUGAGUCUACAGCCCCAGUGCUGGAGGAAGGAGACAGUCUGCUCCUGGAAGCUAGCUGGCCAAGCAGCCUAGCUAUGGCUGCUUUAGGCUCAUUGAGAGACUGUUUAAAAGAAGAAGAUGAAGAGCAAUAGUGAAAGACACUUGACAAACAACAGACAGUUGUCAUGCCAGUGAUUUCAUCCAACAGUUUUAGUUUACUUAUCCUUUGUUUGAAUCUCCCUAGUGAGGCUAGAGUGCGUUUCAUGAAUGUUACCCAGUGGUUCUUCUGUAUUUGGCUGAAGUGGUAACCAAAAUCACUGAAGCCAGGUUUGGAGAUUGUUACUGAGGAAACAGUGGAGAGCUUUAAGUGGAGAGUGUAAGGUGUUCACCAGGGGAAGGGUAAGAACUCAGGUCUGAUGAGCAGCUACAAAAGAUAUAAGCUGAUCAGGGGGUAAAGUGAAGGAGAGGGGAAAGAUUAAGCACUGAAUCUGAAACCCAGAGUGGUGGCAUAGCUUUAAUCCCAGCACGUGAGAAGUAGAGGCAGAUGGGUUUCUGUGAAGUUGAGGCUACAUAGUGAGCUCUAGGGCAGCCAGGGAUACAUAGUGAGGACUUGUUUCCAAACAAAAGCAGAAAGCCAAAUUUGAGUGCUGAAUGAAUUCAAAAGCCUAGUGACUGUGGUCUAUGCAGUGUUAGCUUCUAGAAGCUGACAGAGCUGGGCAGUUCUUGUUUAUUCAUUUUUGGUGCUGAGGAUUGCACCCAAGGCCUCACUCAUGCUAAGUACCUGCUCUACCUCUGAACCACACUCCCAGCCACUAGACAACAGCUCAAAAGUUGAGAGUGGCUGGAUGUAUACAAAGUUAGGAAAGUUCUGAGAGUUGGGUAGACUGUAACAUGAGGUUUUUCUUGGCCCGACUAGGUCUCACUGCCCUUUUCUGCCCCAAAGAAACACACAGG